This 709-nucleotide ribosomal RNA is filed under the name Serratia proteamaculans. RNAcentral describes it as "bacterial SSU rRNA". It matches the Rfam family "Bacterial small subunit ribosomal RNA", at positions 52 to 750 of the family's 1533-position model. Lineage: Bacteria; Pseudomonadati; Pseudomonadota; Gammaproteobacteria; Enterobacterales; Yersiniaceae. The record is from RNAcentral.
UACCAUGCAGUCGAGCGGUAGCACGGGAGAGCUUGCUCUCUGGGUGACGAGCGGCGGACGGGUGAGUAAUGUCUGGGAAACUGCCUGAUGGAGGGGGAUAACUACUGGAAACGGUAGCUAAUACCGCAUGACCUCGCAAGAGCAAAGUGGGGGACCUUCGGGCCUCACGCCAUCGGAUGUGCCCAGAUGGGAUUAGCUAGUAGGUGGGGUAAUGGCUCACCUAGGCGACGAUCCCUAGCUGGUCUGAGAGGAUGACCAGCCACACUGGAACUGAGACACGGUCCAGACUCCUACGGGAGGCAGCAGUGGGGAAUAUUGCACAAUGGGCGCAAGCCUGAUGCAGCCAUGCCGCGUGUGUGAAGAAGGCCUUAGGGUUGUAAAGCACUUUCAGCGAGGAGGAAGGCGUUGUAGUUAAUAGCUGCAGCGAUUGACGUUACUCGCAGAAGAAGCACCGGCUAACUCCGUGCCAGCAGCCGCGGUAAUACGGAGGGUGCAAGCGUUAAUCGGAAUUACUGGGCGUAAAGCGCACGCAGGCGGUUUGUUAAGUCAGAUGUGAAAUCCCCGAGCUUAACUUGGGAACUGCAUUUGAAACUGGCAAGCUAGAGUCUUGUAGAGGGGGGUAGAAUUCCAGGUGUAGCGGUGAAAUGCGUAGAGAUCUGGAGGAAUACCGGUGGCGAAGGCGGCCCCCUGGACAAAGACUGACGCUCAG